GACGAACGCUGGCGGCGUGCUUAACACAUGCAAGUCGAACGGAAAGGUCUGCUUUCCCUUGUGGCUUGCGGGUACUCGAGUGGCGAACGGGUGAGUAACACGUGAGUGAUCUGGCCCCAACUUGGGUAUAAGCCUGGGAAACUGGGUCUAAUUCCCGAUAGGACUGCAGGGUGGUGCCUGUGGUGGAACACGAUGUUCUAGUGGUUGGGGAUGAGCUCGCGGCCUAUCAGCUUGUUGGUGGGGUAAUGGCCUAACAAGGCGGCGACGGGUAGCCGGCGUGACAGUGUGUAGCUCGACAGUGAGAAUGAGCUGCGACCCUGGGUCCGACGGGCGGCAGCAGUGCGGACGGGUGGCAGAUGUGGGGAAGCCUGAGGCAGCGGCGCAGGGUGGACGCUGCCGGGCUUCGUGAUGUAUGCAGGUUUCGAGCGCGAGGAAGUCUUCUGGCUGGGAGGGUGGUGACGGUAGCGGGAGAAGAAGCCCCGGCUAACUACGUG
RNAcentral lists this ribosomal RNA (494 nucleotides) under uncultured bacterium. RNAcentral describes it as "partial 16S ribosomal RNA". It matches the Rfam family "Bacterial small subunit ribosomal RNA", at positions 28 to 507 of the family's 1533-position model. The record is from RNAcentral.